GAUGAACGCUGGCGGCGUGCCUAAUACAUGCAAGUCGAGCGAACAGACGAGGAGCUUGCUCCUCUGACGUUAGCGGCGGACGGGUGAGUAACACGUGGAUAACCUACCUAUAAGACUGGGAUAACUUCGGGAAACCGGAUCUAAUACCGGAUAAUAUAUUGAACCGCAUGGUUCAAUAGUGAAAGACGGUUUUGCUGUCACUUCUAGAUGGAUCCGCGCCGCAUUAGCUAGUUGGUAAGGUAACGGCUUACCAAGGCAACGAUGCGUAGCCGACCUGAGAGGGUGAUCGGCCACACUGGAACUGAGACACGGUCCAGACGCCUACGGGAGGCAGCAGUAGGGAAUCUUCCGCAAUGGGCGAAAGCCUGACGGAGCAACGCCGCGUGAGUGAUGAAGGUCUUCGGAUCGUAAAACUCUGUUAUUAGGGAAGAACAAAUGUGUAAGUAACUAUGCACGUCUUGACGGUACCUAAUCAGAAAGCCACGGCUAACUACGUG
Molecule: ribosomal RNA, 497 nt
Filed under: uncultured bacterium
Lineage: Bacteria
Description: partial 16S ribosomal RNA
Rfam family: Bacterial small subunit ribosomal RNA
Source: RNAcentral